AACGCACGAGACCUGCGGACCUGCGGAAGGAUCAUUACCGAGUUUACAACUCCCAAACCCCUGUGAACUUAUACCUUUACUGUUGCUUCGGCGGGUCAUUGCCCCGGGGAAACAGGUGCCGCCAGGUCCCUGCCCCCCCGGAAACAGGCGCCCGCCGGGGGACUCAAACUCUUCUGUAUUUUUUGUUUACUGUAUACUGUCUGAGUAAAAAUUCAUAAUGAAUCAAAACUUUCAGCAAUG
RNAcentral lists this unclassified non-coding RNA (240 nucleotides) under soil metagenome. RNAcentral's name for it is "partial contains 5.8S ribosomal RNA, internal transcribed spacer 2, and large subunit ribosomal RNA". The record is from RNAcentral.